CUUACCCACGUCUUCUGGAAUAAAAAAAGGCCGGAGUGACAAUAAUGACGACAAGAAAAGGGAAGAAACAACCCAACUCUUGUAAAUAUUAAAACGUUGUGUUUGGCAAGAGCAAAACCAACUUCUUCAAAGAAAAAGAAGAUGGAAAAAGGAAGUUUUUAUAUGAUUCAAACAUGGAAAAAUCCCAGUUCUUUCCUAAGGGAAGCUUCGGAAUUGGAAACUAUAAUUGAUGGGGUUGAAACAGUCGAUGAUGGCGGUGAUUGAAGCAGCGGAGCAUCUACGAAGAUCGGCAAUGAGGUUUGUCUUUGCAGCCAUGGCGUAGUCGCCUCUCUUUCUGCGACCUGUCUUUGCAGAUCUGAGUCUCUUAGUUAAGUACUUUUAGGCUAGCCACUAGAAUUACUUUUGGGCUAUAAAAUGCAUACUGCAAUUUUUGGGCUACUGGAUGAUAUAUGUUUGGGCCGAUGGGCUAUAAAUGAAUUUUGCUCUAAAAUCAAUUAGUCAUUUCUGUCUGCAUUACUUUUUAUCAUGAAAAGAAAAGAAAAGAAUAGAUCGUGAAUA
Nicotiana tabacum (common tobacco) is the source of this 558-nucleotide long non-coding RNA. RefSeq lists it as uncharacterized. NCBI's taxonomy places the organism in Eukaryota, Viridiplantae, Streptophyta, Magnoliopsida, Solanales, Solanaceae. The record is from RefSeq and is a predicted model, not a curated record.